RNAcentral lists this ribosomal RNA (115 nucleotides) under uncultured bacterium. RNAcentral's name for it is "partial 16S ribosomal RNA". It matches the Rfam family "Bacterial small subunit ribosomal RNA", at positions 1355 to 1482 of the family's 1533-position model. The record is from RNAcentral.
UAUUACCGUGAAUACGUUCCCGGGUCUUGUACACACCGCCCGUCAAACCAUGAAAGUCGCCAAUACCCGAAAUCCAACGAUUCGUUGGCCUAAGGUAGGGGAGAUGAUUGGGGUU